This 392-nucleotide non-coding RNA is filed under the name Saccharomyces cerevisiae YJM1418. The record is from RNAcentral. Lineage: Eukaryota; Fungi; Ascomycota; Saccharomycetes; Saccharomycetales; Saccharomycetaceae.
AGAUAUUUAUAUUAUUAAUAGGAAAGUCAUAAAUAUAUAAAUUAUAUUAUAUAAUUAAUAUAAUAAUAAAAUAAAUUAUAUAUUUUAUUUAUAAUAUUAUUUCUUUAUAAGAUAAAUAUUAUCUAAUUAAUAAUUAGAUUGAAUAAUAUUUAUAAAGAAAUAUAUAUAUAUAUAAAAAGUCAUUAUAUAAAUUUAAUUAUAAUUUAAAUAAAUUUUAUAUAAAUUAAUAUAAUAUUAAUAAAGUAAUUAGUAUAAAUAAAUAAUAUGAAAAUAAAACUUAAUAAAUAUAUAAAUAUAGUCCAUAUAUAUAUAUUAAUAAAAAGUAAUAUAUAUAUAUAUUGGAAUAGUUAUAUUAUUAUACAGAAAUAUGCUUAAUUAUAAUAUAAUAUCCA